This 1402-nucleotide long non-coding RNA is filed under the name Rhinopithecus bieti (black snub-nosed monkey). Its description in RNAcentral is "lncRNA (ENSRBIG00000045390.1)". Lineage: Eukaryota; Metazoa; Chordata; Mammalia; Primates; Cercopithecidae. The record is from RNAcentral.
AACUUCAGCUACAAAGGUAAAUUUUUUGGUAAAAUUAUUAACGUGAAAAUAUCUUCUCAAAAUAGGUUUUCUCCAAAAGAUUCUCUAGGUUUGGAUUUGUUUUUUAACGGGAAUCAUAUAAUCUAUGUGCCAAGUGGUGCUGAAGAGCCCUAAUUUAAUUGUAUUGGCAUGAAAUGAUUGAAUUCAUCGGUGAUGGAAGAAAGAGUGAUUUAACAUCAGAUUUCCUGAUAGAGGAAGCUUCACCGUUUAGUUUUCGUUUCUUCAAAGAACGAGAGGGAAGUGGCUGAUGAAGGAAUGAGACUUAUGGAGAAGAAUCUAGUUCCCAGACAACAUCAUUGGCACACCUUUGAAUCCAGUUCUCGUUUCACUCUACAAACCAAAUGAAGUAAAAAUGAACAUAGACAAGUGAGAAUGCAAUUAUGACAAAACAUGGCCACUGUUUUGAAGGAAGGGGUGCCUGACUGCCCAGGGGCACCCAGAGAUUCUCUCAGAUACGGAAAAAUAGGAGCCAAAAGUAAAGCUGAGCACUGGCACAGCCAGCAGGUGUUUCUUACUGAGCUGUCUCUCUGCUCCGGAUACUCCAAUGUAACUAUCUACAGUGGUUUUUUCCUCAGGCCGGGUCUAACUGCCUGUAUCACCAAUAAAUCUGCAUUCUCUUUUACAUUUCUGGUUGCUUCAGCUUUUAUUUGGGUCCUUUCCUCUAGCUCCCUCAGUAGCAUUCCUAUUUUGGUCCUCAGACUUUCCAAAGUCAGCGAAACUUACUUUUUAUUUAUUUAUUUUGUUAAUCACUCACUUACUUUCCCAUCUCUCCUUGCGUCUCUCUUUUCUGCUCCUCUUUCUCCUCUGCCUCCUCCUCCUAUUUUCUUCUUUAUAAUAAUAAUUUAACUCUCCUUUCAGUGUUUUCUGUGAUCAACUUUUCUAUUUAAAUGAAAACCAGUAUUUUAUUGUGAAGUCAUAGAGGUUGUCAUGAUAUUAAGAAUCUGAGACAAUUGGCCAUGGUGGCUCAUGCCUAAAAUUCCACAACUUUGGGAGACCUGGGUAGGAGAAUCACUUGAGUCCAGGAGUUCCAGACUAGCUUGGGCAAGAUAUAAAUCCUUGACUGAUGGAUGCAAUGAAAGGUAGAGUGAGACCUUGUCUCUACAGGAAAAAAAAAAAAAAAAAAAUGCCAGGUGUGGUAGUGUACUUGUGGUCCCAGUUACUUGGGAGACUGAGUUAGGAGGAUCACUUGAGCUCGAGAGGUUGAAGCUGCAGUGAGCACUGUGAUCACACCACUGCACUCCAGCCUGGGUGGCAGAGUGAGACCCUAUCUCACACACAAAAAAAAACAAACCUAAAACAAUCACUGUAGAAAUGUAUCAAUUAUAUCAGAGACACAGCCUAGUUAUUUCUAUGACAUCCCAAG